UGGGAGCAUUUGUAGGCUAGAUCUAAAGAGAAGCUCUUGAUUUGUCCUCAACAUCAAAUCCGGUGAAGGCCCAUACUAAAAUUUGUGCAGCCAAAUUGAAACGAGUAAACUUCAUGUAUGGAUGCAACAACCUGCGCCGAAUCUGAGAAAGGCCAAGACCUAGCACCAUAGCAGCCGCCGCAUCUGGCAAGUCAAUACGCCUAAGUUCCAUAGGGAAAGUAGAAUUCUAGAUUGGGAGAGACGGGAGGAGAAAUACAGGGGCAUAAAUCUUGGCAAUGCAUCAGAGUGUCGAGAGCUCACCGUGACGCCGUCGUAGACCGCUAUUGCCGGCGCAGAGCGGUGCAGCCCCGCAGCACUGCCUUGAGGAACCCAGAGAGUUCACCACACCGCCGAGGCCACCACUGCCACCGAGCACCACGGGAUGAAACUUCAACGCCAUCACCAACCACGGCACCGCCCAAGACCUAGGCAGCUACCCCACCCAUGGCGCCGCCGUGCGCCGCCGAUACUCCCGAUACGGUUCGCAACUCUUCUU
This 535-nucleotide long non-coding RNA is filed under the name Triticum aestivum (bread wheat). RNAcentral describes it as "long non-coding RNA (TAES_LNC000192)". The record is from RNAcentral. Lineage: Eukaryota; Viridiplantae; Streptophyta; Magnoliopsida; Poales; Poaceae.